CCUACGGGUGGCAGCAGUGAGGAAUAUUGGUCAAUGGGCUGACGCCUGAACCAGCGAAGUCGCGUGAGGGAAGACUGCCCUAUGGGUUGUAAACCUCUUUUGUCAGGGAGCAAUUGGCGCUACGUGUAGCGUUAUCGAGAGUAACUGAAGAAAAAGCAUCGGCAAACUCCGUGCCAGCAGCCGCGGUAAUACGGGGGAUGCGAGCGUUAUCCGGAUUUUUUGGGUUAAAGGGGUGCGUAGGCGGAAUGCCAAGUCAGCGGUAAAAUCGCGGGGCUCAACCUCGCUCCGCCGUUGAAACUGGCGUUCUUGAGUGGGCGAGAGGUAUGCGGAAUGCGUGGUGUAGCGGUGAAAUGCGUAGAUAUCACGCAGAACUCCGAUUGCGAAGGCAGCAUACCGGCGCCCAACUGACGCUGAGGCACGAAAGCGUGGGUAUCGAACAGGAUUAGAUACCCGAGUAGUC
Molecule: ribosomal RNA, 460 nt
Filed under: uncultured bacterium
Lineage: Bacteria
Description: partial 16S ribosomal RNA
Rfam family: Bacterial small subunit ribosomal RNA
Source: RNAcentral